This 123-nucleotide small RNA is filed under the name unclassified sequences. RNAcentral's name for it is "LOOT RNA". It matches the Rfam family "LOOT RNA". From Rfam's summary of the family: Latescibacteria, OD1/Parcubacteria, OP11, TM7. Lineage (Microgenomates, aka OP11) The record is from Rfam by way of RNAcentral.
AGCCUAAACCUCAUAGUUUAUCUAUGAGGCAUGUGGCGCAAAAACGUUCAACGUAGAGAGCUCCUAGUCAGAGCACGCGUUGAACGUCAUAUCGGGAAACCGGUAUGGGUCCCGCAAGGGAUU